UACGUAGGGGGCAAGCGUUGUCCGGAAUUAUUGGGCGUAAAGAGCGCGUAGGCGGUCCGGUAAGUCGGUUGUGAAAGUCGGGGGCUCAACCCUCGGAUGCCGAUCGAUACUGUCGGGCUAGAGUCCGGAAGAGGCGAGUGGAAUUCCUGGUGUAGCGGUGAAAUGCGCAGAUAUCAGGAGGAACACCAAUGGCGAAGGCAGAUCUCUGGGCCGUAACUGACGCUGAGGAGCGAAAGCAUGGGGAGCAAACGGG
This 253-nucleotide ribosomal RNA is filed under the name uncultured bacterium. RNAcentral describes it as "partial 16S ribosomal RNA". It matches the Rfam family "Bacterial small subunit ribosomal RNA", at positions 524 to 776 of the family's 1533-position model. The record is from RNAcentral.